AUUGAACGCUAACGGCGUGCUUAACACAUGCAAGUCGAACGGCAGCACAGCAGUAGCAAUACUGUGGGUGGCGAGUGGCGGACGGGUGAGUAAUGCAUAGGAAUCUGCCUUGUAAUGGGGGAUAACCCGGGGAAACUCGGGCUAAUACCGCAUAAUCUUUACGAAGCAACGUGGGGAACCGUAAGGCCUCACGGUAUAAGAUGAGCCUAUGUUGGAUUAGCUAGUUGGUGGGGUAAAGGCCUACAAAGGCGACGAUCCAUAGCUGGUCUGAGAGGAUGAUCAGCCAUACUGGGACUGAGACACGGCCCAGACUCCUACGGGAGGCAGCAGUGGGGAAUAUUGGACAAUGGGGGAAACCCUGAUCCAGCAACGCCGUGUGUGGGAAGAAGGCCUUAGGGUUGUAAAGCACUUUCAGUAGGGAAGAAAAGCUUAAGGGUAAUUUCCUUGAGUAUUGACGUUGCCUACAGAAGAAGUACUGGCUAACUCUGUGCCAGCAGCCGCCGUAA
This 506-nucleotide ribosomal RNA is filed under the name uncultured bacterium. RNAcentral's name for it is "partial 16S ribosomal RNA". It matches the Rfam family "Bacterial small subunit ribosomal RNA", at positions 30 to 523 of the family's 1533-position model. The record is from RNAcentral.